Molecule: long non-coding RNA, 755 nt
Organism: Oncorhynchus tshawytscha (Chinook salmon)
Lineage: Eukaryota; Metazoa; Chordata; Actinopteri; Salmoniformes; Salmonidae
Source: Ensembl
GGGAGUUCCUAACUAACCAAUGAAGACCUAGACAACCAGGUGAGGAGGGGAGUUCCUAACUAACCAAUGACGACCUAGACAACCAGGUGAGGAGGGGAGUUCCUAACUAACCAAUGACGACCUUGACAACCAUGUGAGGAGGGGAGAUCCUAACUAACCAAUGACGACCUUGACAACCAGGUGAGGAGGGGAGUUCCUAACUAACCAAUGACGACCUAGACAACCAGGUGAGGAGGGGUGUUCCUAACUAAUCAGUGACCUUACUCGAUCACUCAAGUACAAACGAGGAGCAAAAACCCACAGACACUCGGCCCAUAGACAUAUAAUGGAACGAGUCUGACACCUGUGGUAAAGGUAGACAGCUUUAUUGAGUGCUGGGCAUAUAAUCCUACCACCAGAGGGCGUUGUGGAGCCAACUCACCCCAAGCAUAACUGUCUGUGUGCAUUAUCCACAUGAGUUGGCUAUUGGUUGUGGAAACUCUCAUCUUAACAUGCAUACGCCUGUAAUCUAGUCUCUUAUCUGGAUAUUGAGCAGUAUAUGGAAAGCAAGCCUACUCACAACCUCUAGAACUCUGUUGAGUAGCAGUACAGUCCCAGUAACCUCCACUACAGUCCCAGUAACCUCCACUAACAGUACAGUCCCAGUAACCUCCACUACAGUCCCAGUAAUCUCCACUAACAGUACAGUCCCAGUAACCUACACUACAGUCCCAGUAACCUCCACUACAGUCCCAGUAACGUCCACUACAGUCCCA